This 468-nucleotide ribosomal RNA is filed under the name uncultured bacterium. RNAcentral describes it as "partial 16S ribosomal RNA". It matches the Rfam family "Bacterial small subunit ribosomal RNA", at positions 28 to 507 of the family's 1533-position model. The record is from RNAcentral.
GACGAACGCUGGCGGCGUGCUUAACACAUGCAAGUCGAACGGAAAGGCCCUGCUUUUGUGGGGUGCUCGAGUGGCGAACGGGUGAGUAACACGUGAGUAACCUGCCCUUGACUUUGGGAUAACUUCAGGAAACUGGGGCUAAUACCGGAUAGGAGCUCCUGCUGCAUGGUGGGGGUUGGAAAGUUUCGGCGGUUGGGGAUGGACUCGCGGCUUAUCAGCUUGUUGGUGGGGUAGUGGCUUACCAAGGCUUUGACGGGUAGCCGGCCUGAGAGGGUGACCGGGCACAUUGGGACUGAGAUACAGCCCAGACUCCUACGGGAGGCAGCAGUGGGGAAUAUUGCACAAUGGGCGGAAGCCUGAUGCAGAAACGCCGCGUGCGGGAUGACGGCCUUCGGGUUGUAAACCGCUUUCGCCUGUGACGAAGCGUGAGUGACGGUAAUGGGUAAAGAAGCACCGGCUAACUACGUG